RNAcentral lists this ribosomal RNA (253 nucleotides) under uncultured bacterium. RNAcentral describes it as "partial 16S ribosomal RNA". It matches the Rfam family "Bacterial small subunit ribosomal RNA", at positions 524 to 776 of the family's 1533-position model. The record is from RNAcentral.
UACAGAGGUCUCAAGCGUUGUUCGGAUUCAUUGGGCGUAAAGGGUGCGUAGGCGGCGCGGUAAGUCGGGUGUGAAAUCUUGGAGCUUAACUCCGAAACUGCAUUCGAUACUGCCGUGCUUGAGGACUGGAGAGGAGACUGGAAUUUACGGUGUAGCGGUGAAAUGCGUAGAUAUCGUAAGGAAGACCAGUGGCGAAGGCGGGUCUCUGGACAGUUCCUGACGCUGAGGCACGAAGGCCAUGGGAGCAAACGGG